UACAGAGGGGGCAAGCGUUAUUCGGAAUUAUUGGGCGUAAAGGGCGCGUAGGUGGCUUGGCAAGUGGAAGGUGAAAUCCCUCGGCUCAACUGAGGAACUGCCUUCCAGACUGCUUUGCUUGAGUCCGGAAGAGGCGAGUGGAAUUCCCGGUGUAGCGGUGAAAUGCGCAGAUAUCGGGAGGAACACCAAUGGCGAAGGCAGCUCGCUGGGACGUGACUGACGCUGAGACGCGAAAGCGUGGGGAGCAAACAGG
Molecule: ribosomal RNA, 253 nt
Filed under: uncultured bacterium
Lineage: Bacteria
Description: partial 16S ribosomal RNA
Rfam family: Bacterial small subunit ribosomal RNA
Source: RNAcentral